Long non-coding RNA from Gallus gallus (chicken), 2146 nucleotides. The record is from Ensembl. NCBI's taxonomy places the organism in Eukaryota, Metazoa, Chordata, Aves, Galliformes, Phasianidae.
UUCAUGCCAAAUCAGUGACUUCAGUAAUUAUGAAAGAAACCGGACACAGGCGUGGAACCUUCUCCAAUUAUUUUCCAUUACUAAGCUCUUUGGAGUCGUUUGUGAAAGCAGUAAACAAACAAAACUAGAAGCAUUAGGAAUAUGUUUUUUUGUUCAUUAUUUUAAAUUCUUUACUUUCUUGAAGAACCUUAAAAGCAGCUCUUUGAAUGAAUUCACAUGCUCACAUUUUCUUACCUGCUCCUUUUAGCUGCUAUUUUUUCCCCCCAUAGCUGAUGUUUAAGACUUGAAAUCUAGUUCUGCUUGUUGGUAUAUACACAAAACAUAACUUUUGUCAUACAGAAUUUAAUCUAUAAUAAUUCUGUGUAACAUUCUAUUACACAGAGUUUAUGUCACAAGCAGUGGAAGUGGGACCUUGGGUCACAGUAGCCCUUGGGUUCAUAGUGCCAUCAAUUGGAACAACUGUGUGGGGAGGUGAUCACUAACAAAGAUCAAGAUGGACUAACUGGUGAGUAGAUGAUGUAGUCAGGGAGCCAAGAAUGUGUGUGUCUCUGGAAGAGAUACUGCAGUUGACGCUGGUUAUCAAAGGGACCAUGGGAGCUAAGCCAGUAACCAGGUGACUGAAGAGUCUGGGUAACAUUUAAGACCAGCUUAUCUAUGGGAGUUUGCAUGUGAGCAUAUACUUACGUUAAAAAUUUUAUGGUGUGGAUGAUACUGGACCAUAACUUCUGUCUGAUUUGGAUUACACAUAUAGUUUUAUACACCAAUGCCCAAAUGCACAAACCUGUGUAUCCAUAUCCAUAAUUACGGCACCAGAUAGCCUUUUCUAAUAACUUUCAACUUUCAGUCUCAGAGUAGAGCAGUAAAUAUCACUGGCUUCUCCACAAUAAAAAAUGGAUUUGUUGUUUUUCUUAGUGUUCAUCCUUACUACUUUAGACAUGUGAACAAAUUCUGUAUCUCUUCCUUCCAGAUUUUCUUAUGUCCCUCCAUCACAGCACAUCCUCUGCUUUCUCAUAACAGCAUCACUUUCUGCUUUAAAACGCCUGACACAAAAGCUGCAUUCACCUGUACAGUAACCUCCCCAUUCUCUCAUUUUAAACUAAACUUCUGCUCCUAACACAUGCUUCAAGGUGCUAGUUCACUGCCACCAUUUUUGUUGCUGUUGUUCAGCAGGCCCUCCUGAACCAGGGAAUGUCACCAAAAUCGCUCCUUCUCCCAGAUUUCCAGCUGAAUCAAAAUUUCUUUUCCCCUGUACUUCCUUUAUUUUUAUUUUUUAAUAUUUAUUUAUUUAUUUAUUUAUUCUUGUAAUCGAUGUUUCAGUUCUGGCUAUGCCACACUGAAGAGGCAAUAUCUCUUGUUAAAAAUGUGUCUCCACUCUAUUUGGCCAUCUAUGGGGAAAAGAAAAUCAUACUAAAAAAAAUGACUGUGAAAGUCUCAGAAAUGUCUCUGAGUCUUCUCACCUUCUCACUUCUUUGUGAUAUACAUUAAAGGUUUUGUUUGUUUGUUUGUUUGUUUUGGUUUGGUUUUUUUUUGCUCUAAGAUCAAAUUUUCUGGGAAAAGAGGUUUGUUUGUUUUUCACAAACACUUUUUUGACAAUACACAAAUAAAACAACUGCACAAAAGUUGUAAGAUAACAGAUCCUUUUCCAGACACCUCAACCUCAUUCAUGUCAUAGUUUGAUAACUUCUCCAUUUGAGAUGGGUGAAAUUUUCAUUAGAGGGAAUGCUCUGUUUGGGAUGAGACAGCACAAGUCUACCCUGCUCUAUAUCCUGGACAAGUAAAUAUAUCACGAUAUGUGAACAGUCUUCUUCAUCAUAUUUCACUCUCAACAGUCUUCUCUUUCCUCCCAGUGCUGUGAAUAUUCCAUUUGGUGCAUUCCCUGCACCAGCCUGGGCAAAGAAUACUCAUCUCCAAUUCAAGAAUAAUUAUUAUCUAAAUAAAUAAAUAUCUUUGUGGGAGGAUGGAUAGCAGAGAAUGAAUAAAUAAAAUGUGGGUUUUUUUUGUUUGUUUGUUUGUUUGUUUUUCUUGGAGGUGCUUUCAUGUUAAUUAUUUAUAAUGUAGUUGUAUUGGAGAAUCUCACUUGAAUAUUAACUUCUGUAUAUUUGCAGCAUAUUGUCAAAACUGAAGGCUUAUCCCAGCAUCUUUAGUG